Molecule: non-coding RNA, 716 nt
Organism: Cicer arietinum (chickpea)
Lineage: Eukaryota; Viridiplantae; Streptophyta; Magnoliopsida; Fabales; Fabaceae
Source: RefSeq, a predicted model, not a curated record
UCUAUUUUCAAAUAGUGCGUCACCAACUCACCAUGUGAUAGCACUGGCAGAGUCAAUGCAUAAACAGCCCCAUCCUUCACCUUUCCACAUUCUUUAUGAAUUGGUCAAUGUUGUGAUAUUCUUGUCACAAUAUCCCUAUCUUUUUGAAAGAUUCAUGUUAAUAAUUUAAAAAUAGACACGAUAGAAAGUUGGAUUUUCAACCAAACUUUUUUUGAAAGUAUUGCAAUAGAUAACAAACUCAUUUGCCUUACGUUUUGGAGAUAAUUCUUUUGAUGAAUAAAUUUCAAGUUAGUUUUACCUCCUACUUCUACUUCUCUACUCAUCAAAUCAAAUGUCUUCCUCUACUGUAUAUCAGCUAGAUCAAUUUGAUUACAUUGAAAUCUGAAAGUUUUCACAUAUGAGGUUUUUCUUGUGAGUGCAAAAUAUGGUUAUGUUUCUCCAAAAAAUCAUGCACCACCAAAAGUGUGGUCUUGUGAAGAAGGAACGUCUGUUAGAGGCCACAGCUGAAUUGGAGUUUGAUUUCUCUUCUAUUAAUUGAUGAAGGGUAAUGAUCCAGUAUUUACAUUGCCACUAUUCAGAGGAGGAGGUUGCACAUAAAGAACAUAUUAAAAACAUAAAGUUUGUUAUCACAGUUUAAAUACAAGUCCAACAUCUUUAUAAAUUAAACAUUACAUAAAAAAGAAAAAAUUAUAUAUGUCUUUUAGAAAGAAAAAAAA